AGCAGUGGGGAAUAUUGGACAAUGGGCGAAAGCCUGAUCCAGCCAUGCCGCGUGUGUGAAGAAGGCCUUCGGGUUGUAAAGCACUUUAAGCGAGGAGGAAGGGUAUCAACUUAAUACGUUGGUAUUUUGACGUUACUCGCAGAAUAAGCACCGGCUAACUCUGUGCCAGCAGCCGCGGUAAUACAGAGGGUGCAAGCGUUAAUCGGAAUUACUGGGCGUAAAGCGCGCGUAGGCGGUUGUGUAAGUUGGAUGUGAAAUCCCCGGGCUUAACCUGGGAAUGGCAUUCAAAACUGCACGGCUAGAGUAUGGGAGAGGAAGGUAGAAUUCCAGGUGUAGCGGUGAAAUGCGUAGAUAUCUGGAGGAAUACCGAUGGCGAAAGCAGCCUUCUGGCCUAAUACUGACGCUGAGG
This 409-nucleotide ribosomal RNA is filed under the name uncultured bacterium. RNAcentral's name for it is "bacterial SSU rRNA". It matches the Rfam family "Bacterial small subunit ribosomal RNA", at positions 350 to 751 of the family's 1533-position model. The record is from RNAcentral.